RNAcentral lists this ribosomal RNA (260 nucleotides) under uncultured bacterium. RNAcentral's name for it is "partial 16S ribosomal RNA". It matches the Rfam family "Bacterial small subunit ribosomal RNA", at positions 98 to 354 of the family's 1533-position model. The record is from RNAcentral.
CGGCACGGGUGAGUAACACGUAUGGAACCUGCCCUAUGCAGGGGGAUAAGCGGAAGAAAUUCCGUCUAAUACCGCAUAACACCAUUUGGAGACAUCUCCAGGGGGUCAAAGGAGGCGACUCCGGCAUAGGAUGGCCAUGCGUCGCAUUAGCUAGUCGGCGGGGUAACGGCCCACCAAGGCGACGAUGCGUAGGGGUUCUGAGAGGAAGGUCCCCCACACUGGUACUGAGACACGGACCAGACUCCUACGGGAGGCAGCAG